CUGUGAAUAUUCUCAUGUUUCUGAUUUUGUAAUAGUCAGGGCAGGCCAAACAUUCACUAUAUUAAGACCAUACUUGUGUCCCCGGACCUAGUUAUUUCCGUCAGUCUGGCUUUAUAAAUGCGGAUGAUAAAC
Molecule: small nucleolar RNA, 132 nt
Organism: Bison bison bison
Lineage: Eukaryota; Metazoa; Chordata; Mammalia; Artiodactyla; Bovidae
Gene: SNORA72
Rfam family: Small nucleolar RNA SNORA72
About the family: U72 is a member of the H/ACA class of snoRNAs. The snoRNA gene is located in intron 4 of the ribosomal L30 protein gene in human, mouse and chicken.
Source: Ensembl